This 247-nucleotide ribosomal RNA is filed under the name uncultured bacterium. RNAcentral's name for it is "partial 16S ribosomal RNA". It matches the Rfam family "Bacterial small subunit ribosomal RNA", at positions 523 to 769 of the family's 1533-position model. The record is from RNAcentral.
AUACGUAGGGGGCAAGCGUUAUCCGGAAUUACUGGGUGUAAAGGGAGAGUAGGCGGCAUGACAAGCAAGAUGUGAAAGCCCGGGGCUUAACCCCGGGACUGCAUAAUGAACUGUCAGGCUAGAGUACAGGAGAGGUAAGCGGAAUUCCUAGUGUAGCGGUGAAAUGCGUAGAUAUUAGGAAGAACACCGGUGGCGAAGGCGGCUUACUGGACUGAAACUGACGCUGAGGCUCGAAAGCGUGGGGAGC